AGAGUUUGAUCCUGGCUCAGGACGAACGCUGGCGGCGUGCCUAACACAUGCAAGUCGAACGAGAAUCUUUGGAAUGAUUCUUUCGGGAUGAAUUCUAAAGAGGAAAGUGGCGGACGGGCGAGUAACACGUGGGUAACCUGCCCAUCAGAGGGGGACAACACUUAGAAACAGGUGCUAAUACCGCAUAAUACAGAGAAUCGCAUGGUUCUUUGUUGAAAGGCGCUUCUGGUGUCGCUGAUGGAUGGACCCGCGGUGCAUUAGCUAGACGGUGAGGUAACGGCUCACCGUGGCAAUGAUGCAUAGCCGACCUGAGAGGGUGAUCGGCCACAUUGGGACUGAGACACGGCCCAAACUCCUACGGGAGGCAGCAGUAGGGAAUCUUCGGCAAUGGACGAAAGUCUGACCGAGCAACGCCGCGUGAGUGAAGAAGGUUUUCGGAUCGUAAAACUCUGUUGUUAGAGAAGAACAGGAGCGAUAGUAACUGCUCGCUCUUUGACGGUAUCUAACCAGAAAGCCACGGCUAACUACGUGCCAGCAGCCGCGGUAAUACGUAGGUGGCAAGCGUUGUCCGGAUUUAUUGGGCGUAAAGCGAGCGCAGGCGGUCUCUUAAGUCUGAUGUGAAAGCCCACGGCUUAACCGUGGAGGGUCAUUGGAAACUGGGAGACUUGAGUGCAGAAGAGGAAAGUGGAACUCCAUGUGUAGCGGUGGAAUGCGUAGAUAUAUGGAAGAACACCAGUGGCGAAGGCGGCUUUCUGGUCUGUAACUGACGCUGAGGCUCGAAAGCGUGGGGAGCAAACAGGAUUAGAUACCCUGGUAGUCCACGCCGUAAACGAUGAGUGCUAAGUGUUGGAGGGUUUCCGCCCUUCAGUGCUGCAGCUAACGCAUUAAGCACUCCGCCUGGGGAGUACGACCGCAAGGUUGAAACUCAAAGUAAUUGACGU
This 941-nucleotide ribosomal RNA is filed under the name uncultured bacterium. RNAcentral's name for it is "bacterial SSU rRNA". It matches the Rfam family "Bacterial small subunit ribosomal RNA", at positions 8 to 916 of the family's 1533-position model. The record is from RNAcentral.